Molecule: long non-coding RNA, 421 nt
Filed under: Serinus canaria (Common canary)
Lineage: Eukaryota; Metazoa; Chordata; Aves; Passeriformes; Fringillidae
Description: lncRNA (ENSSCAG00000007446.1)
Source: RNAcentral
GUCCCCCCCACACCUUGGGCACAGAGAGUUUGGGGCUCUAAACAGCUGCUGCUGCGGCAGGAGGGAGCCGAGGGCGCUUGGCUGGGGCUGCUCGCUCGGGUUCUGCCUGUUGUUGCGCGAAAUGGCGGCUGGCGUCUUGGUGGCUGUAUUCCAGACAUGGCCUGUGUUUAUGAUGUCCUUGAUGUGCUACUGGCUAUUAGCAAGGAACAUGAUAAGAAAAUCCCUCCAGACUGGAAGACUGCCCUCUGCGUUUGAUCAGCACAGCCUUGUUUGUACUGACUUUUACCUUUCUUUAGGGGUGACUCUGAACAGAAACUGUUAAGCUUCUUCUAAUUGUGAAGCUUUGAACCAAUAGCAGCAGUGAGAAUUUUCAGUUAUCUGAAGAAAUGUAUACAUCAGAAAUUCUUGGGGUUUUUUUCUG